GAUUAACGCUGGCGGCGUGCAUAACACAUGCAAGUCGAACGAUGAAACUCAUUAGAUUUCUUCGGAAUGAAAAUGAAUGGAUUAGUGGCGAACGGGUGAGUAACGCGUGAGUAACCUGCCUUACACAAGGGGAUAGCCUCUGGAAACGGAGAAUAAUACCCUAUGAAACCAGACAAUCGCAUGAUAAUCUGGUCAAAAUGUUUAGUGGUGUAAGAUGGACUUGCGUCUGAUUAGCUAGUUGGUGAGAUAAAAGCUCACCAAGGCAACGAUCAGUAGCCGGCUUGAGAGAGUGUACGGCCACAUUGGGACUGAGACACGGCCCAGACUCCUACGGGAGGCAGCAGUGGGGAAUUUUGCACAAUGGGGGAAACCCUGAUGCAGCGACGCCGCGUGAUUUAGAAGGCCUUCGGGUUGUAAAAAUCUUUUGUAUAGGAAGAAAAUGGCAGUACUAUACGAAUAAGGUCCGGCUAAUUACGUG
RNAcentral lists this ribosomal RNA (478 nucleotides) under uncultured bacterium. Its description in RNAcentral is "partial 16S ribosomal RNA". It matches the Rfam family "Bacterial small subunit ribosomal RNA", at positions 28 to 507 of the family's 1533-position model. The record is from RNAcentral.